RNAcentral lists this ribosomal RNA (413 nucleotides) under uncultured bacterium. RNAcentral describes it as "bacterial SSU rRNA". It matches the Rfam family "Bacterial small subunit ribosomal RNA", at positions 352 to 782 of the family's 1533-position model. The record is from RNAcentral.
CAGUGGGGAAUCUUAGACAAUGGGGGCAACCCUGAUCUAGCCAUGCCGCGUGAGUGAUGAAGGCCUUAGGGUUGUAAAGCUCUUUCAGUGGGGAAGAUAAUGACGGUACCCACAGAAGAAGCCCCGGCUAACUCCGUGCCAGCAGCCGCGGUAAUACGGAGGGGGCUAGCGUUAUUCGGAAUUACUGGGCGUAAAGCGCACGUAGGCGGAUUGGAAAGUUGGGGGUGAAAUCCCAGGGCUCAACCCUGGAACUGCCUUCAAAACUCCCAGUCUUGAGGUCGAGAGAGGUGAGUGGAAUUCCGAGUGUAGAGGUGAAAUUCGUAGAUAUUCGGAGGAACACCAGUGGCGAAGGCGGCUCACUGGCUCGAUACUGACGCUGAGGUGCGAAAGCGUGGGGAGCAAACAGGAUUAGA